AAACAUAUAGGUUUGGUCCUAGCCUUUUUAUUAGCUCUCAGUGAGAUUACACAUGCAAGCAUCCACAGCCCUGUGAAAAUGCCCUCUAGAUUAUCAGAACAUGAGGAGCGAGUAUCAAGCACAUGCACCUGCAGCUCAAAACACUUUGCUUAGCCAUGCCUCCACAGGAAACAGCAGUGACAAACUUUUAGCAAUGAAUGAAAGUUUAAGUUACACUGACCAUUAGAGUUGGUCAAUUUCGUGCCAGCCACUGCAGCCAUACGAUUGACUUGAGUUAAUAGAGCCCAGCAUAAAGAGUGUUUAAGAUUUUAUUCCCAAUAAAGCUAACAUAUAACUAAGUCGUAGAAAACCCCAGUUAUGGUAAAAUAUCCUACGAAAGUGGCUUUAGUACCCUGAAUACACUAUAGCUAAGGUACAAUCUGGGAUUAGAUACCCCACUAUGCUUAGCCCUAAACCUCAAUAACUUAAUCAACAAAAUUAUUCGCCAGAACACUACAAGCUAUAGCUUGAAACUCAAAGGACCUGGCAGUGCUUUACAUCCGUCUAGAGGAGCCUGUUCUAUAAUUGAUAUACCCCGAUCAACCUUACCACCUCUUGCCCUCAGCCUGUAUACUACCAUCUUCAGCAAACUCCUUUAAGAUCGUAAAGUAAGCAGAAGUAUCAUCAUAAAAACGUUAGGUCAAGGUGCAGCCAAUGAAGUGGGAAGAUAUGGGCUACAUUUUCUAAGUUAGAAAAACUACAAAAUAGCCUUUAUGAAAUCUAAGGGUCUAAGGUGGAUUUAGCAGUAAAUCAAGAAUAGAGAGCUUGAUUGAAACAAGGCCAUUAAGCAUGCACACACCGCCCGUCACCCUCCUCAAACAUCACAUAAAAGUACAUUAACAAUAAGCCACUACACGCUGAUAUAGAGGGGAUAAGUCAUAACAUGGUAAGCAUACUGGAAAGUGCACUUGGACGAAUCAAAGU
This 963-nucleotide non-coding RNA is filed under the name Callithrix jacchus (white-tufted-ear marmoset). Lineage: Eukaryota; Metazoa; Chordata; Mammalia; Primates; Cebidae. The record is from Rfam by way of RNAcentral.